UACAGAGAGUGCAAACGUUGUUCGGAAUUACUGGGCUUAAAGCGCGCGUAGGCUGUGUCGUAAGUGUCAAGUGAAAUCCCACGGCUCACCCGUGGAACUGCUUGGCAUACUGCGAUACUCGAGUGUGGUAGGGGAGAGCGGAACUCCUGGUGGAGCGGUGAAAUGCGUAGAUAUCAGGAGGAACACUGGUGGCGAAGGCGGCUCUCUGGUCCACAACUGACGCUGAGGUGCGAAAGCUAGGGGAGCAAACGGG
Molecule: ribosomal RNA, 253 nt
Filed under: uncultured bacterium
Lineage: Bacteria
Description: partial 16S ribosomal RNA
Rfam family: Bacterial small subunit ribosomal RNA
Source: RNAcentral